UACGGGAGGCAGCAGUGGGGAAUAUUGCACAAUGGGCGCAAGCCUGAUGCAGCCAUGCCGCGUGUAUGAAGAAGGCCUUCGGGUUGUAAAGUACUUUCAGCGGGGAGGAAGGCGGUGGAGUUAAUAGCUUCACCGAUUGACGUUACCCGCAGAAGAAGCACCGGCUAACUCCGUGCCAGCAGCCGCGGUAAUACGGAGGGUGCAAGCGUUAAUCGGAAUUACUGGGCGUAAAGCGCACGCAGGCGGUCUGUCAAGUCGGAUGUGAAAUCCCCGGGCUUAACCUGGGAACUGCAUUCGAAACUGGCAGGCUAGAGUCUUGUAGAGGGGGUAGAAUUCCAGGUGUAGCGGUGAAAUGCGUAGAGAUCUGGAGGAAUACCGGUGGCGAAGGCGGCCCCUGGGACAAAGCUGACGCUCAGGGUGCGAAAGCGUGGGGAGCAAACGAGGGAUUGGGAUA
Molecule: ribosomal RNA, 454 nt
Filed under: uncultured bacterium
Lineage: Bacteria
Description: bacterial SSU rRNA
Rfam family: Bacterial small subunit ribosomal RNA
Source: RNAcentral